GCAGUCGAGCGGUAGAGAGGUGCUUGCACCUCUUGAGAGCGGCGGACGGGUGAGUAAAGCCUAGGAAUCUGCCUGGUAGUGGGGGAUAACGCUCGGAAACGGACGCUAAUACCGCAUACGUCCUACGGGAGAAAGCAGGGGACCUUCGGGCCUUGCGCUAUCAGAUGAGCCUAGGUCGGAUUAGCUAGUUGGUGAGGUAAUGGCUCACCAAGGCGACGAUCCGUAACUGGUCUGAGAGGAUGAUCAGUCACACUGGAACUGAGACACGGUCCAGACUCCUACGGGAGGCAGCAGUGGGGAAUAUUGGACAAUGGGCGAAAGCCUGAUCCAGCCAUGCCGCGUGUGUGAAGAAGGUCUUCGGAUUGUAAAGCACUUUAAGUUGGGAGGAAGGGCAUUAACCUAAUACGUUAGUGUUUUGACGUUACCGACAGAAUAAGCACCGGCUAACUCUGUGCCAGCAGCCGCGGUAAUACAGAGGGUGCAAGCGUUAAUCGGAAUUACUGGGCGUAAAGCGCCCGUAGGUGGUUCGUUAAGUUGGAUGUGAAAUCCCCGGGCUCAACCUGGGAACUGCAUUCAAAACUGUCGAGCUAGAGUAUGGUAGAGGGUGGUGGAAUUUCCU
RNAcentral lists this ribosomal RNA (619 nucleotides) under uncultured bacterium. RNAcentral describes it as "bacterial SSU rRNA". It matches the Rfam family "Bacterial small subunit ribosomal RNA", at positions 57 to 672 of the family's 1533-position model. The record is from RNAcentral.